UACGUAGGUGGCAAGCGUUGUCCGGAUUUAUUGGGCGUAAAGCGAGCGCAGGCGGUUCUUUAAGUCUGAUGUGAAAGCCCCCGGCUCAACCGGGGAGGGUCAUUGGAAACUGGGGAACUUGAGUGCAGAAGAGGAGAGUGGAAUUCCAUGUGUAGCGGUGAAAUGCGAAGAUAUAUGGAGGAACACCAGUGGCGAAGGCGACUCUCUGGUCUGUAACUGACGCUGAGGCUCGAAAGCGUGGGGAGCAAACAGGAUUAGAUACCCU
This 265-nucleotide ribosomal RNA is filed under the name uncultured prokaryote. RNAcentral's name for it is "partial 16S ribosomal RNA". It matches the Rfam family "Bacterial small subunit ribosomal RNA", at positions 524 to 788 of the family's 1533-position model. The record is from RNAcentral.